Molecule: ribosomal RNA, 1339 nt
Filed under: Chryseobacterium sp. IG 11
Lineage: Bacteria; Pseudomonadati; Bacteroidota; Flavobacteriia; Flavobacteriales; Weeksellaceae
Description: bacterial SSU rRNA
Rfam family: Bacterial small subunit ribosomal RNA
Source: RNAcentral
UCGGGAUCUUGAGAGCGGCGUACGGGUGCGGAACACGUGUGCAACCUGCCUUUAUCUGGGGGAUAGCCUUUCGAAAGGAAGAUUAAUACCCCAUAAUAUACUGGAUGGCAUCAUUCGGUAUUGAAAACUCCGGUGGAUAGAGAUGGGCACGCGCAAGAUUAGAUAGUUGGUGAGGUAACGGCUCACCAAGUCUACGAUCUUUAGGGGGCCUGAGAGGGUGAUCCCCCACACUGGUACUGAGACACGGACCAGACUCCUACGGGAGGCAGCAGUGAGGAAUAUUGGACAAUGGGUGAGAGCCUGAUCCAGCCAUCCCGCGUGAAGGACGACGGCCCUAUGGGUUGUAAACUUCUUUUGUAUAGGGAUAAACCUACCCUCGUGAGGGUAGCUGAAGGUACUAUACGAAUAAGCACCGGCUAACUCCGUGCCAGCAGCCGCGGUAAUACGGAGGGUGCACGCGUUAUCCGGAUUUAUUGGGUUUAAAGGGUCCGUAGGCGGAUCUGUAAGUCAGUGGUGAAAUCUCACAGCUUAACUGUGAGACUGCCAUUGAUACUGCAGGUCUUGAGUGUUGUUGAAGUAGCUGGAAUAAGUAGUGUAGCGGUGAAAUGCAUAGGAUAUUACUUAGAACACCAAUUGCGAAGGGCAGGUUACUAAGGCAACAACUGACGCUGAUGGGACGAGAGCGUGGGGGAGCGAACAGGAUUAGAUACCCUGAUAGUGCCACGCCGUAAACGAUGCUAACUCGUUUUUGGAGCGCAAGCUUCAGAGACUAAGCGAAAGUGAUAAGUUAGCCACCUGGGGAGUACGAACGCAAGUUUGAAACUCAAAGGAAUUGACGGGGGCCCGCACAAGCGGUGGAUUAUGUGGUUUAAUUCGAUGAUACGCGAGGAACCUUACCAAGGCUUAAAUGGGAAAUGACAGGUUUAGAAAUAGACUUUUCUUCGGACAUUUUUCAAGGUGCUGCAUGGUUGUCGUCAGCUCGUGCCGUGAGGUGUUAGGUUAAGUCCUGCAACGAGCGCAACCCCUGUCACUAGUUGCCAUCAUUAAGUUGGGGACUCUAGUGAGACUGCCUACGCAAGUAGAGAGGAAGGUGGGGAUGACGUCAAAUCAUCACGGCCCUUACGCCUUGGGCCACACACGUAAUACAAUGGCCGGUACAGAGGGCAGCUACACUGCGAAGUGAUGCAAAUCUCGAAAGCCGGUCUCAGUUCGGAUUGGAGUCUGCAACUCGACUCUAUGAAGCUGGAAUCGCUAGUAAUCGCGCAUCAGCCAUGGCGCGGUGAAUACGUUCCCGGGCCUUGUACACACCGCCCGUCAAGCCAUGGAAGUCUGGGGUACC